This 373-nucleotide long non-coding RNA is filed under the name Musa acuminata (dwarf banana). RNAcentral describes it as "long non-coding RNA (MACU_LNC001964)". The record is from RNAcentral. Lineage: Eukaryota; Viridiplantae; Streptophyta; Magnoliopsida; Zingiberales; Musaceae.
UCCCCUCCUAUAGGAAAUUUGGUCCCCAAAUUUAACUCACCUUAAUAGAAUAGAUGAGGAUACUGCUCUCGCAUAUCUUCUUCUCUUUCCCACGUUGCCUCUCGGUCCGAAUGGUGUUGCCAACAAAUCUUUACCAAAGGUAUAAUUUUGUUCCUUAGAACAUGUUCUUUCCUUUCCAAGAUCUGGGUUGGUUGUUCUCCAAAAGUAACAUCAUCUCUUAGUUGUAGAGGUUGAUAAGAUAUGACAUGUGAUGGAUCCCUGAUAUAUCUUCGAAGCAUAGACACAUGAAAUACAUCAUGGAUGCCAGCCAAAGCCGGGGCCAAUACCAAUCUAUAUGCUACAGGCCCAACCUUUUGUAAAAUCUCAAAUGGGC